GACGAACGCUGGCGGCGUGCUUAACACAUGCAAGUCGAACGGAAAGGCCCUGCUUUUGUGGGGUGCUCGAGUGGCGAACGGGUGAGUAACACGUGAGUAACCUGCCCUUGACUUUGGGAUAACUUCAGGAAACUGGGGCUAAUACCGGAUAGGAGCUCCUGCUGCAUGGUGGGGGUUGGAAAGUUUCGGCGGUUGGGGAUGGACUCGCGGCUUAUCAGCUUGUUGGUGGGGUAGUGGCUUACCAAGGCUUUGACAGGUAGCCGGCCUGAGAGGGUGACCGGCCACAUUGGGACUGAGAUACAGCCCAGACUCCUACGGGAGGCAGCAGUGGGGAAUAUUGCACAAUGGGCGGAAGCCUGAUGCAGCAACGCCGCGUGCGGGAUGACGGCCUUCGGGUUGUAAACCGCUUUCGCCUGUGACGAAGCGUGAGUGACGGUAAUGGGUAAAGAAGCACCGGCUAACUACGUG
RNAcentral lists this ribosomal RNA (468 nucleotides) under uncultured bacterium. Its description in RNAcentral is "partial 16S ribosomal RNA". It matches the Rfam family "Bacterial small subunit ribosomal RNA", at positions 28 to 507 of the family's 1533-position model. The record is from RNAcentral.